Molecule: non-coding RNA, 2508 nt
Organism: Macaca mulatta (Rhesus monkey)
Lineage: Eukaryota; Metazoa; Chordata; Mammalia; Primates; Cercopithecidae
Source: RefSeq, a predicted model, not a curated record
AAAUAAAGUCAAGAUUUACAUUGUUUUAUUCUUGUGUUUUCAGCUUCUUGAUCUGUUGCUUUUAAUGAAAACAAAUGAGUUAUCUUUUCAGAGACCCUCAGACUGUGGAUGGGGAAUGGGUAGCCCAGGAGUCCAGCGUCGGGGCGGACUGGCCGGCCGGCCAGCGACAGCAGCCAGAGGGACCAGCGCCACCCUGCCCCGCCACCCCGCGUCCCUCGAACCCAGCCCAGCAGAUGCAGAGCUCACAUUUCUCCUGCUAGCGGCUCUCCCGGCUCCCCUGUGAGCCCCGAUAGCCAGGCCCAUUCCCUGUCAGCACCUGCAGCCAAGCAGGAGGCCUGGGGACGGAGGAAUAUUGUCCUGUUCUGGCUUCGCCAGGCCAGGAUUAGAACUGCAUGCAGUGCAGCAUCUGACACUCGCUGGACACUCAGGAAGGACGAGACGGCCCUCCUCCUCCUGCCACCCAGAGCCCCAGCCUCCUCCCAGCCCCCCCAGGCUCCCAGAAUAGCCUGCGGCCAGAGCUGGCCUGUGGUAAACAGCUCCAGAGCCUCUGGGUAGGUCUUGGAUGAGUAAUCCUUAGCAAAACAUCGUGGGAUCCAGAAAGGUGCAGGUGCCAGGCCUAAGCUGUGUGGGCCCCUCCAGUGCCCCCACCCGGACCCUCCGCUGGGCCACUCCAGGCCAGGCGUGAGUAGAGGCACAGGUGGUGCUCCCCUCUGUCCCAUCCCAGGAGGGCAUCCAGGAGGCUGGGACGUCCCCCAUCCAUGUGGGAAGGAAAACCCGCCAUCCGGUUGCUGAUGGGGCCUCAGGGCGUUGUGGGGGGCCCCUGGGAGGAGGUGGGAGGCACAUAAAACUCCAUCUGCGGGUGGACUGCACACCCCUCUGGCCACAGCCCCCAGGAGGCUUUCUCCUCCACGCCAUCACACACCCCAAACUUUGUGGCCCAGCAUCUCUCUCCCACCCUUGUCCAUACAUUGUGGUGCACCCUUCGCAGACGAGCACUGCGUGAGUUCCUUCAGUUCUCUUCCAACAUCCCCUGCGCAGCCAUUCAGACAGGCUUCCUUCUCUCCCCUUCUUACCCGAGUGGCACGGCUCUGUGCUUCCUCUCACACCUCACUACUUACGCACAGCAGCCUCCUUCUCCUGGGUCAGCCAGGCCAGCUGGCUGCUCAGGGCUCAGGCGUUGGCUCCUCUGAGGAGUCCUGGGCUCCGACCAGCUGUUGGGCAACGCCGGGACGACAGCCUCUCCUGUCUUAAAGGGCAGGAGGUACUGCGGCUUCUUCCCCUGCCACAGCCCCAGGGACCCGACGGGGACACUCUGCCUCUGCCUCUGUGCGGGGUCAUGCUCUGCCUGGAAAGCUCCUCCUUCCUUCCUGGCCCAUUGGAAAAUCGCCAUGUGUCCUCUGGCCAGUCCCAGCACCCCCAGGUGGGACCCUAGCAACCCUGCACCUCCCACUGCAGCCCUGUCUCCCUCCUCCUCGCAGGGCAGCUGCCAAGCCUCACCCAGUCCAGGUCUCCCCAGGCAGGAUCCCUUGGGGGAAACCUGAGGAGGCAGCUGUUUCCCCCACCCCCCAAGUGUCCUCAGAGAACCCCUUCCAGACCCCAAAGUCCAGAGCUCAGCCUCAGGUUCCCUCACUCGGGUCUGGGAACUGGAAGCCGGUCCUGCUCCCCUCCCCAGCCUCUGCCCCAUUUUUUUGUUCGCUUCCAUGUAGAGCAGACCAGAAUAUGCCACCCCAAAAUAUGCCUCUUUGGCAUAAGCAUUAUUUUGAGCUGCUUAUUUUGAGAAACUGCAGCCACAGGAGAAACUCUGCAAGCAAGCAUGGAAGCUGCUCUUCUGUGAGAGAAAGUCACAUCCGUACAGGAGGUGCCUCCCUCCCUGAGCCAGAAGGCCGGCUGAAGUCACCAGAGAUGCUCAUCCACGGAGAAGGCCUGACCCCAGUUUGGGGGGUCUGUCCCAACUUCAAGGCCUGUGAAGGCUGCAGAGAGAAUUGCUUUUCCACCUUGCAGCACGAAGCCUCCCCCCAGGAUCCUCCACGCCCCCAGCUGCUCCAAGACUUUCAAUUAUGAGCACCUGUGCCCUCCUGGAGUCUGGUGCAGCCCGUCCGGGACUCCGGCUGGACCUCCCUCCGUCCUCACCACACAGCUGCUCUCCCUGCCCCACCCUCAGCCCUCCUCAGCCCCACCCACCUGGACCCUAGUGUCCACAGACGGGCAGACUGAACCACCAAAUUCCUCCUCAGAGCCCAGUAAAGGCACCAGGCAGAAGGGUCCGGCCGAGGGCUGGCCGCUGUCUCCUCACUCCUCAGUGGGGUCCUGUCUUCUGACUUUUGUCACGUGCUGCCGCAGCCUGUGGACGCCUGGUCCCCACGUGGAGACGGGCUUGUGGUCCCUCCUCUGAGAGCCUGCUUUGUGCCCGGCCCCGGGCCGAACUUUGAACGAGGCUCCUGUCUUACUCGAGUGCUUAUGUUUUGGGGAGAUAAACAAUAAACAGGAACAGAAGAAAGUGUCUUCAGA